AUUGAACGCUGGCGGCAUGCCUUACACAUGCAAGUCGAACGGCAGCACGGGAGCAAUCCUGGUGGCGAGUGGCGAACGGGUGAGUAAUGUAUCGGAACGUACCUUUCAGUGGGGGAUAACGUAGCGAAAGUUACGCUAAUACCGCAUAUUCUGUGAGCAGGAAAGCAGGGGAUCGCAAGACCUUGCGCUGAUUGAGCGGCCGAUAUCAGAUUAGCUAGUUGGUGAGGUAAAGGCUCACCAAGGCGACGAUCUGUAGCGGGUCUGAGAGGAUGAUCCGCCACACUGGAACUGAGACACGGUCCAGACUCCUACGGGAGGCAGCAGUGGGGAAUUUUGGACAAUGGGCGCAAGCCUGAUCCAGCCAUGCCGCGUGAGUGAUGAAGGCCUUAGGGUUGUAAAGCUCUUUUGCCGGGGACGAUAAUGACGGUACCCGGAGAAUAAGUCCCGGCUAACUUCGUGCCAGCAGCCGCGGU
Molecule: ribosomal RNA, 473 nt
Filed under: uncultured bacterium
Lineage: Bacteria
Description: bacterial SSU rRNA
Rfam family: Bacterial small subunit ribosomal RNA
Source: RNAcentral